ACCCUGACACUGACAUCCCCUAAACUCCGCUGAAGAUGUUACCUAGCCUGGUAACAAAACAUUUGGAAACCAACCCAUAAGCUUGGAGAAUGAACCUUCACCCUCAUUAAAAUCAGCCAGGAGACCCAUGUUGCAACUUCUCUAAAAAUUGGCCAGUACACAUCUCCAACGGUAUGUGGAAAUGACCUUGGGAGACAGGAGGAAGAACCAAAGCCUAGACAAUGGUCUGAUAAACGAAAUUUGAGUCCAAUGGAGAAAGAGUGGUGAAAGAAGACACCCUCCCUAGUUUUCAGGAGAGUAAAAGUGAAGGAAGAUAGGGGUUCUUUCAACUUGUCAGAUUCUGUUAAUGCAACCUUAUAAUAAAAAUAGAGCUAGUACUGUGA
This is a long non-coding RNA of Pantherophis guttatus, 383 nucleotides long. RefSeq lists it as uncharacterized. The record is from RefSeq and is a predicted model, not a curated record. NCBI's taxonomy places the organism in Eukaryota, Metazoa, Chordata, Lepidosauria, Squamata, Colubridae.